RNAcentral lists this small nuclear RNA (55 nucleotides) under Hucho hucho (huchen). Its description in RNAcentral is "U7 small nuclear RNA (ENSHHUG00000014901.1)". It matches the Rfam family "U7 small nuclear RNA". From Rfam's summary of the family: Animal histone pre-mRNAs are spliced by a different mechanism than nuclear pre-mRNAs and self-splicing introns. This processing involves the U7 snRNP, which contains only one RNA species: U7. Lineage: Eukaryota; Metazoa; Chordata; Actinopteri; Salmoniformes; Salmonidae. The record is from Rfam by way of RNAcentral.
CAACAUUUGUUCUUUUAGUAUUUGUCCAGAUGGUUUUCUCAAAGAGAAAGCCUCC